This is a long non-coding RNA of Peromyscus leucopus (white-footed mouse), 5298 nucleotides long. RefSeq lists it as uncharacterized. Lineage: Eukaryota; Metazoa; Chordata; Mammalia; Rodentia; Cricetidae. The record is from RefSeq and is a predicted model, not a curated record. The transcript has 3 exons.
AGCCGAGCAGCUUCGAGUGCCGCCGAGCCCGAGCCGAGCCCGAGCGAGCGCCACCGGCCGCAGCUACCGUGACAAGUGGUGCUUGUGGCUGUCAAUCAGAGGCAUGGCCCAAUCAGCGCCGCCCGCCUGGACCGCCCCGCCAUUCUCCAAGAGCGCACUGGGCCGCUGGGCCGGGAAAGGCGAGAUUGGGGUGUUGGUGGGGUGGGGGUGAAGUGGAGGCCACGCCAGGGCUGGGAGCCUCCGGACCGUGCUCUAUCUGCUGGGGGUCUUGUCAUUAAAAGGAAUGCCGGGGUGGUGCAGGCAGCAGGCCUCUGGGAGAAGUCCAUGUGGCCGCCUUGGUCUAGGGGUUUCUUCCUGCACCCCUGGGUUUUGGGAGGAGUUUUCCGCCCCUCGCGAGAGUUUUGUAUAUAAAACUGGGCCGUUGUACCAUGGAAGGGUGCUGCAGGCGGGUUUGGAGUGCUCGUUACCAGGCACAGGUGUUCCCUGCAGGGUGGGGAUGUUAAGUGCUGGCGAGGAUACUGCAUGCGAGCCGGGUUCUGCAGACGGGGUGGAGAUGCUGCUUUUAGGUUGGGGUUCUGCAUACAGCGUGGGUGCUAUGUGUAGGCUAGAGCUCUGAACGCAGGUAGUGUUCUGCAUAUGAGGCGUAAUGCUUCAUUCGGAGCGAGAGAGCUGUGCACUGCAGUACCCAGAGUGCCCUGGAUGUCUCUCUCCACCGGCUGUUUCUGUUCCCGUGAGAAAGGGACAGCAUUUUCGCGGUAUGCCAGUAGACACCAGUAUACUAGCAUCCAUGAAUUCUAGCAGAGGCAUUCUGCAGCAGGGCCCUCUGGUGCCUCCGAGACCUCAGCUGCAGACCUUUCUGUAUUUAAGAUAAGCCGUGAGUAAAGGGGUUUCAUGGUUUCCUGAGAAGCCUCUGAAAAGUGUAUGGCCUUAAGGCCAGCAGUGGAGGCAAUCAGACCUACAGCGACCCUCCUUUUCUUGCGUGAAACCCUUGUAUUUCCUUAAGAUAUGCUGUGGGAGGUGGUGGAAAAGGAGAGAUGAGGACCAGGCUCAGAACUUUACAGAUGUGGGCUAUACUUCCUGUGUACCUCAAUGGAAGGAAGCUGCAUUAGCCAACAAUGUUCCAGGUCAACAAGGUAUGGAAUGUCACCUUCUCCUUCAGCCACCUGCUUGCCCUUGCCCACCCUAGGUGUCACAGUGUGAACUUACAGAGGGGCCCACUUUUUCCAGCACUACCCAGGAAUACCAAUGGAGAGUAAGGACAUUGUGGCCUGUUCAUAUUUCCAAUGUAAGAAAGAACCAACCCUCAGAACAGCUUUCUCUUCAAAGAGCUGGCCUGAUCUUUGGAAGUGGUAGAUUUAGGGCCAGUGGGUACUAAGUGUUGUUCUGGAAUGAGCAGCACUGGCCUGCUAAUGGGGACACACAGGCAAUCACAGAGGGUGGGCCUCAGGCUGAUGCUGGCACCACUCGGGGCAGUGGUGAUUUUUCAGCAACACCUGAGAGUAUUUGGGACCUUGGAGUAGAGUAUUCAACCAGAUUUGGCCAGAGGUGAGCAGUAGAAGUAGAACAUGGGCAGGUGAGUGGGAGGGCCAAUGAUCCACAUAAGAAAGGAAAGACGAUGCCAAGUCCCUGUCUACUGGGGUCCCUCUGGUCACCUUGCCUCCCUGUCUACAUUCCCACCUUUCCAGUGGCCUUAGCAGCAUUUGGUCUGUAGCUAUCUUCAUCUGCUCCCCAAAACUUUUAUCUUCAAGACUGCUUUCUCCCUACCUGCAGUCUACCCUCUCUCUGCCUCUUGGUCUCUUCCCCUCUCUCUAGCCCGUUUUUUGUGUGUGCAUCUAGCCAACACCAAUCAACAAGCUCUCCAGGGUCAGGUGCAGAGCCUCUUCCCUUGGAUGUGCCCUCCAGGAACUGCUGUGUCCCUGCGGUACCUACAGCUUUGAAGCCCGAGCAAGCCACAAAGAAUUGAUGAAGAGCAAAACUGUGUCCAAGGCAAUUGAGCAAACACUCUCUGUAUAGAGUCAUCCCAGCCCACUAGUAACAGCUGAAGGAAGACAGAACGGAACCUCCAAUACUGUGGUCCUCUCUUGGUCCUGACCUGACCAUUUUCCAAGUGAUGCAGGAGGGUAAGGAGCUGCCUAUGGUUGUCAUGGCUGUGGAGUGUGCAUUGUACUGCCCCAUGUUUGUUCAUACACAGAGGAACGUGAAUCCUGUUUUACCCCAGCAAUGCGAUCCUUGGGCCUCCAACUCCUGCUGUGAAGAAGCUACAGGGCCCUGCCUUCCUGACCCCUUCCUCAAGGUCCAGGGUGGUAACCAAGUUGGGCUGUGAGCAGCUCUGAGGCUAGGUGCACCUCAGAUGUCAAGCCUUUUGUGGUUGAAUGUAGUAGUGAGGUCUCAUGUAGAAACUCACAGUCUUCCCUCGCAGGUCAGGGCUUCUGCAAAGAGACUGUAGUCCGGGCGGUUAGAAGGGUUAUAAGGUUAUAACCCUUCUAACCCUAAGGUUAGAAGACCCCCUUUCAAAGGGCAGCUGUGAGCAUGCUGGGGAGGGCAUCAAUGACCCAGCGGUUCUCCAGGGUUUGAACUUUCCUCUCCACCCUUGUCCAACCUCUGCUCAGUAGCCAUUGUCCCCCACUUCCUCAGUGGUAUCAUUCAGGGAUGAUGGCAGCAGCGAAGCAGCUGAAGGUCCCCCACAUCCUUUGGGGUCCAGCCCUACUACCAUCCUCAUCUUGAGAGCAAAGGCCAGGGACUUGCUCAUUGUUGAGGCCACCGUCCCUCCUUGUCUUCCUUAGCCCUGACCCUCUGGGAAGCCUGGGAUCCGCACAGUACCUCCUUGUAUUCAGGGUUCCCCGCCCCUGUAUAUCCCAUAAUCACCACUUGGUCUCUCCCCUUCUCGCUCUGAGUCCCCUACUCUCUGAGCCUUUCCCUAACAUAUACCAGUGUUAGGGUGAAUGCCAAACACACCCUGAGCACCUCCUGAGCAAUUGUGUCUAGGUCCUUCGCAAAGCCAGGGCCCAGAUGCAGGACCGUGGGAGGAAUGCUGUUCCCUGGCUUCCCCUAAGGCCCCAUCACAGAACCAACACCUUCUCCCCUGGAUAGGCACCAGUGCUGGCCAUGACCAACAGACCUGCCUGGCUAGUGCAGUCCACAGAGUGAUCCCGAAUUUGCACCUGACAGACCUUUGUGCUGUCGUGGCUAUAAGGAGAACAGGUCUCAGGUGGCUUCUCCAGCUGUGGCACAGGAACAGAAGGACUCUAAACUACACCCUGGAGUCACAGUGCUGAGCCACAGUCCAACUGUCCUGCACACCUGCUUCAACUGUAUACAUGCUUGUACUGCACAGUACCAAGCCUGAGGCUGUCGUUGGCUGUGCCACACUUUGUCUCUGGUGACAGACUAGGGCUCCUGCCACCCCUCCAACCCCAAUCUGGUGACCCCAGGCCACAGUCCAGACAAGCACCCAGUGCUGCUUGGCAGCUCUGCCCAUUUCUACUCCCCACAGCCCAUUUCCCCUCCCGACAGGUCUUUCAGCCCCAGUGUCUAGAAGCAGCAAAAAAGCAACUGACCUCCCUAUGACAAAGACAAAGAGCAGACCAGAAGGAAAAUUGAGAGCAUUUUAUUUUCAUUAAAACAUAUCGGAUACUAAGAAUUGUGUUUUCCUAAUCACAGCGCUGGGCUGGAAGCCAGGGCAUCUCUGCUGACGUCAGCUGUGUGUGGAGGCAGGCAGGGCCCAACCCACUUUUGGUUGAGAGCUCUCAGAAGUUGCUGGGAGCCGACACUUUCAGCGGCUGCUCCAUUUCCCUGUGAAGCUAGCACGGGCUAGGGUUUAGAGGAUUCAUCCCCCACCUGUGACUGAUGCUGUGACUCCUCUUGAUUGUAGAUUUCUGCAUAGCUUGCUAUCCCUCCAUAGUUGAGAGCGGCAGACACUGCUGCGUAUAGUGCCUGCCAGUGACUAGUCAGAGGGGUCCAGGACUACAGUAAGGAGCAGAUAUGCGAACAGAGGACCCGAGCUACCCAUCAGGUGGCUAUAGCCAAGGGCUCCUGGAGCCACAGGAUUCCUGAGCUCCUGGUAGAAUCCCAGGAGACGGAUGUUACUGGCAUCCCACCUCCUCACCCUGCAGAUUCUGUCUCUUGGCAAAAGGUCUGUUGGGGAGGCUGGGCCUAGAGUAUAGCAGCCACUUCACUCCUGUCCUUCCUUGGCAAUGAGGCUUGGCCCCUCAUGCCUACUGGUACCUCAGUUUGCAUAAAAUAGAUGAAUUCACGAGACUCCUCAAGGUUGUGGGGUGUGUAGUGCUAAGGCAAGGAUGUAGAGUGUGAGCUAGUCAACUGUUCUCAUUUGAAAAGAUCCAAAAACAACCACACACACACAAAAAGACUCUCUUGCCCCAUACCUGAGCCUGAAAAACAAUCUUUCUUAAAAUCAGAAUCUGUUUUCCUGGACAGCAAGACAGGUCCCAUGAUCAGGAUGAAGUACAAUUUAGAAUCUCGGUCCUAACUGGCUAGACUGUCCCAGCACAGGAGACCUGGAGUGAGGUGUUGUGGAGGACACUGUGGCAGGAAGCAGCCAAUGACUCUUUGUGAGUGGGUGUCCUCAACACCUAGUAGGCCAUGCUGUGAAACAGAUCUCCCAAACAGUGGCACAAAACAACUGUUUGUAACACUCAAGGAUAUGAAAAUCCAACCUAGCAGGCCCAAACUGGGAGACAAAAGGCUGAGUCUGGAAUCUUCAGAUGUGUUUUCGAAUGUUGCACUCUUUUCUUAAUCAUUUGGCUGGGGUCCUUAUGGAUAGAAAUCGAUGGGCAGGUAAGGAAAAGCUCUUCUAGUGCAGGUAGCCCCUAGCUCCUGAGUACCCAAGACCUAGGGGUGGGAGGACAAUACCCAAGCCUACAACUUGAGUCCUGAGAGCUGAGGGUGUACUGCACCAAGCUUUAGAAACUAGAGACUUAGGGUUCUCUACACAGCCUUAUUACCCUGCACCUUACCCUUCGGUGACCCCAGCACUUGGCAGCUGUGAAAUCCCAAGCUUCCAGCAGUAAUGAGUGGCAGCAGCGGGCUGAGAAGGCAGGAGGCUUAGUGCUAACCUUCUUAAAUGGCCUGCAGGUAACCCCAAGCUGCUUCAGUGGCUGGUGUUACAGAUGUCAGUCCCAGAAUGUCAGCUCCUUCACCCUUGAUUGUAGCUGGAGUUACAGCUGUCAGACCAAGGGGGUCUGAGGCCCUUGACCCUACAGCUUAGCAGCUCCCUGGAACUUUUUUUCUGGCAAGACUGUAGUUUCUUAUCUUUAGCAUCUGCCUGCCUGCCUUCCUUCU